GCUUAGGAGGACUGCACUGUCCUUCAGAGCAGCUGGGACCCAGUUCAACCCCUGUCCUAGUGUGACUUGGGAGAGCUACAGAGUUUAUUUCAGCCUCGGUUUUCUCAUCUGCAAAAUAGGAAGAAGAAACAAGAUUUGCCCUGCUUGCCCUGCCAGGUGCCAGUGAGGAGCCAUCUAAGAGGGCAUCUGGGCCCUGGGGUGCAAGGAGGACUGAGGUGGUCGCCAAGCCUGCCCACACCUCAGUCCCCCUACCACAUUGCACAUACAUGAAAUCUGUUCGGGGCCAGGUGUUAGUGCUUUGGGUUCCCCGCUGUCCAGGAUGGGGUUCCCAGUGGAGGUGCAUCAGCAUCCCAUGGGAGCUUGUCAAAAAUGCAGACUCUCAGGCCCCACCAACCAGCUGAACCAGAAUCUGCAUGUUUAAACAAGAUCCCCCAAGAGGUGAGUGUGCUCAUUAAAGUUUGAAAAGCCUCACUUCGGUGGACAUUGUUUUGCCUGUCUUGGACCCAUUCCCCCUUCUUCUGGUAAAAUUGAUCAUAUUUUUUGGGGGGAGAACCAUGGGCCCCAACUCUGGUCAUAUGUGCUUCAGUAGGGCUAAUCCACUCUCCAGAACCCGGAGGGCACACGAAAGCGAGUCCCAGCCAAUCCGAAUCAACGCUGGAACUGUGGCUGGGCACAAGGAGCUCUCUUUACAUGGCUGUUGUUCAGCUGUAGGAUGGAGUCUGGAGAUCGACUUCCUGGCUUUUCAGUGCGUGUAAGCCAAUCAUGUAAGACCCAAGGAGCAGGUCUCGUAGGAUGUGAUGACUCCUGCAGGAGGCAGCCUUGCGAUCCUCCAUGCACUCUUCAGCUGUUCGUCUCAAGUGAAACGGGACCAAGUAGGCCCACGGAGCUGCCAGUUACGGGAACAUCCAAUGUACCGUCCUGAACUUGUGGGGCCUCAGGGCCCGUUUCCACCGCCUGCCCUGUGAUCUUGAGCUACCUACAACACCUCUCUGAGUCUUGUUUUCCUCAUUUGCAACUGAAGACAAUAGUAUCUAAUACAAUUAGGAGGAUAAAAUGAGUUAACUCAUGUAAAGUGCUUAGCACAGAGUAAGUACUAAAUGAAGAUCACUACUGCAAGACUGGGUGGGUGGAUAAUUCAUGCUUUUGCUCCAAGGUGAGGUUGCCCUGUCUGCCAAUCUAUCACAGCUAGGGAAGUGGGAGGCUUUCCCCUGUGGGAUGUAGACUGGGGAAGGCCACCAUCUCUCACUGAGCGUGGAGGCAGAGCUGCAGUGUUCAGGGUUGGCAAGGGAGGGAAGGUGAGACCUGCAGUCGCCCUUCCUUGUCCAGGUCUGCCCCUUCAAUCCUUUCUCUCCUCCUUGGCAGACCCCUUAUCUCCUCCACAAAUGAGUCACUCUUGCCAGGGGACAAGCUCCCCGGGGCCACAUCCUACCCCCAUGAAGCUGUAGCAUUAUAAGAAUACGAAAAGGCAGACCAGCCUAACCAACAUGGAGAAGCCCCGUCUCUACUAAAAGUA
This is a long non-coding RNA of Cercocebus atys (sooty mangabey), 1513 nucleotides long. RefSeq lists it as uncharacterized. Lineage: Eukaryota; Metazoa; Chordata; Mammalia; Primates; Cercopithecidae. The transcript is spliced from 4 exons. The record is from RefSeq and is a predicted model, not a curated record.